Molecule: ribosomal RNA, 416 nt
Filed under: uncultured bacterium
Lineage: Bacteria
Description: bacterial SSU rRNA
Rfam family: Bacterial small subunit ribosomal RNA
Source: RNAcentral
UCGGGAAUAUUGCGCAAUGGAGGAAACUCUGACGCAGUGACGCCGCGUGCAGGAAGAAGGUUUUCGGAUUGUAAACUGCUUUAGACAGGGAAGAAAAAGGACAGUACCUGUAGAAUAAGCUCCGGCUAACUACGUGCCAGCAGCCGCGGUAAUACGUAGGGAGCAAGCGUUAUCCGGAUUUAUUGGGUGUAAAGGGUGCGUAGACGGGAAGUCAAGUUAGUUGUGAAAUCCCUCGGCUCAACUGAGGAACUGCAACUAAAACUAACUUUCUUGAGUGCUGGAGAGGAAAGUGGAAUUCCUAGUGUAGCGGUGAAAUGCGUAGAUAUUAGGAGGAACACCAGUGGCGAAGGCGACUUUCUGGACAGUAACUGACGUUGUGGUACGAAAGUGUGGGGAGCAAACAGGAUUAGAUACCC